GACGAACGCUGGCGGCGUGCUUAACACAUGCAAGUCGAACGGAAAGGCCCUGCUUUUGUGGGGUGCUCGAGUGGCGAACGGGUGAGUAACACGUGAGUAACCUGCCCUUGACUUUGGGAUAACUUCAGGAAACUGGGGCUAAUACCGGAUAGGAGCUCCUGCUGCAUGGUGGGGGUUGGAAAGUUUCGGCGGUUGGGGAUGGACUCGCGGCUUAUCAGCUUGUUGGUGGGGUAGUGGCUUACCAAGGCUUUGGCGGGUAGCCGGCCUGAGAGGGUGACCGGCCACCUUGGGACUGAGAUACGGCCCAGACUCCUACGGGAGGCAGCAGGGGGGAAUAUUGCCCAAUGGGCGGAAGCCUGAUGCAGCAACGCCGCGUGCGGGAUGACGGCCUUCGGGUUGUAAACCGCUUUCGCCUGUGACGAAGCGUGAGUGACGGUAAUGGGUAAAGAAGCACCGGCUAACUACGUG
RNAcentral lists this ribosomal RNA (468 nucleotides) under uncultured bacterium. Its description in RNAcentral is "partial 16S ribosomal RNA". It matches the Rfam family "Bacterial small subunit ribosomal RNA", at positions 28 to 507 of the family's 1533-position model. The record is from RNAcentral.